Molecule: ribosomal RNA, 253 nt
Filed under: uncultured bacterium
Lineage: Bacteria
Description: partial 16S ribosomal RNA
Rfam family: Bacterial small subunit ribosomal RNA
Source: RNAcentral
UACGUAGGGUGCGAGCGUUAAUCGGAAUUACUGGGCGUAAAGCGUGCGCAGGCGGUUCGUUAAGUCAGCUGUGAAAGCCCCGGGCUCAACCUGGGAACUGCGGUUGAAACUGGCGAACUAGAAUCUGGCAGAGGGGGGUGGAAUUCCACGUGUAGCAGUGAAAUGCGUAGAGAUGUGGAGGAACACCGAUGGCGAAGGCAGCCCCCUGGGCUAAGAUUGACGCUCAGGCACGAAAGCGUGGGGAGCAAACAGG